Molecule: ribosomal RNA, 409 nt
Filed under: uncultured Frankineae bacterium
Lineage: Bacteria; Bacillati; Actinomycetota; Actinomycetes; Frankiales
Description: bacterial SSU rRNA
Rfam family: Bacterial small subunit ribosomal RNA
Source: RNAcentral
UGGGAAGUAUUGCGUCAAUGGGCAGGAAAGCCAUGACGCAGCGACGCCGCGUGAGGGAUGAAGGCCUUCGGGUUGUAAACCUCUUUCAGCAGGGACGAAGCGCAAGUGACGGUACCUGCAGAAGAAGCACCGGCCAACUACGUGCCAGCAGCCGCGGUAAUACGUAGGGUGCAAGCGUUGUCCGGAAUUAUUGGGCGUAAAGAGCUCGUAGGCGGUCUGUCGCGUCGGCUGUGAAAACUCGGGCUCAACUCCGAGCCUGCAGUCGAUACGGGCAGACUAGAGUGCGGUAGGGAGACUGGAAUUCCUGGUGUAGCGGUGAAAUGCGCAGAUAUCAGGAGGAACACCGGUGGCGAAGGCGGGUCUCUGGGCCGUAACUGACGCUGAGGAGCGAAAGCGUGGGGAGCAAACA